Molecule: ribosomal RNA, 479 nt
Filed under: uncultured bacterium
Lineage: Bacteria
Description: partial 16S ribosomal RNA
Rfam family: Bacterial small subunit ribosomal RNA
Source: RNAcentral
GACGAACGCUGGCGGCGUGCUUAACACAUGCCAGUCGAACGAAGCUUGAUUACGGAUUCUUCGGAUGAAGUAUGAUAUGACUGAGUGGCGGACGGGUGAGUAACGCGUGAGUAACCUGCCCUUCAGAGGGGGAUAGCGUUUGGAAACGAACGGUAAUACCGCAUAAUGUAUUUUGACCGCAUGAUCGAAAUACCAAAGAUUUAUCGCUGAAGGAUGGACUCGCGUCUGAUUAGGUAGUUGGUGGGGUAACGGCCUACCAAGCCGACGAUCAGUAGCCGGACUGAGAGGUUGAUCGGCCACAUUGGGACUGAGACACGGCCCAGACUCCUACGGGAGGCAGCAGUGGGGAAUAUUGCACAAUGGGCGCAAGCCUGAUGCAGCAACGCCGCGUGAAGGAAGACGGUUUUCGGAUUGUAAACUUCUGUUCUUAGUGAAGAAUAAUGACGGUAGCUAAGGAGCAAGCCACGGCUAACUACGUG